GUGCUCACUUUGGCAACACAUAUACUAAAACUGGAACCAUACAGAGAAGAUUAGCACAGCUCCUGUACAAGGAAGACACGCAUUCUAUUUAGUUAUGAUCAAGAAAA
This is a small nuclear RNA of Suncus etruscus (white-toothed pygmy shrew), 107 nucleotides long. The record is from RefSeq and is a predicted model, not a curated record. Lineage: Eukaryota; Metazoa; Chordata; Mammalia; Eulipotyphla; Soricidae.